This 664-nucleotide ribosomal RNA is filed under the name Acinetobacter sp. DH33-2. RNAcentral describes it as "bacterial SSU rRNA". It matches the Rfam family "Bacterial small subunit ribosomal RNA", at positions 126 to 782 of the family's 1533-position model. The record is from RNAcentral. Lineage: Bacteria; Pseudomonadati; Pseudomonadota; Gammaproteobacteria; Moraxellales; Moraxellaceae.
CUGCCUAUUAGUGGGGGACAACGUUCCGAAAGGAGCGCUAAUACCGCAUACGUCCUACGGGAGAAAGCAGGGGACCUUUGGGCCUUGCGCUAAUAGAUGAGCCUAAGUCGGAUUAGCUAGUUGGUAGGGUAAAGGCCUACCAAGGCGACGAUCUGUAGCGGGUCUGAGAGGAUGAUCCGGCCACACUGGGACUGAGACACGGCCCAGACUCCUACGGGAGGCAGCAGUGGGGAAUAUUGGACAAAUGGGGGGAACCCUGAUCCAGCCAUGCCGCGUGUGUGAAGAAGGCCUUUUGGUUGUAAAGCACUUUAAGCGAGGAGGAGGCUACCUAGAUUAAUACUUUAGGAUAGUGGACGUUACUCGCAGAAUAAGCACCGGCUAACUCUGUGCCAGCAGCCGCGGUAAUACAGAGGGUGCGAGCGUUAAUCGGAUUUACUGGGCGUAAAGCGUGCGUAGGCGGCCAAUUAAGUCAAAUGUGAAAUCCCCGAGCUUAACUUGGGAAUUGCAUUCGAUACUGGUUGGCUAGAGUAUGGGAGAGGAUGGUAGAAUUCCAGGUGUAGCGGUGAAAUGCGUAGAGAUCUGGAGGAAUACCGAUGGCGAAGGCAGCCAUCUGGCCUAAUACUGACGCUGAGGUACGAAAGCAUGGGGAGCAAACAGGAUUAGA